RNAcentral lists this small RNA (889 nucleotides) under Drosophila yakuba. RNAcentral's name for it is "GE28153". The record is from RNAcentral. Lineage: Eukaryota; Metazoa; Arthropoda; Insecta; Diptera; Drosophilidae.
UAUAUAUAAUGCGUUAAAUAUUAAAUUAAUAUAAAUUUGAAUAAUACAUUUAAAUGUCAAUUUCAAGCCAAUUUCUGCUAAAGCGCCCCAUUUUAGAAACAUUUUGUAAUAGAAACAUGACAUGAAUCACUUCCUAAAUAAAUCGUUAGGUCAAAAGUAGUUUUGGACUAGAAGAAGUAAGUAAUACACGUUUCAAGUGCACGCACGAAUUUAGUCUCCUCACUGACGCCAAGCCCACAUUGAUUUCCAAAGUCUUCUUGCCUGGUAGUUAUCUUCCACGUCCGAUACGAUAGGAUACCCAGCCCAGUCAAUGAGCUCACUACAGCAGGAACCGUUUUCAAACUACGAGCUAAUGAAUUUAUUUUCAAAAGUCAUACGCAUUGUUUGUGCAACAAUUUAUCACCGCCGGAGUCUCGGAUCACAUUAGAAGCACGCUUUGUUCGCCGAAUAUGGCAGAAAAUCCAAAGCCGGCAGCCAGCAGCCCCAUCAAUCACCGGCUGACAAGCCACCUAAAUACAAUAUAAAUAUAUUGAGCUGCCAGGGAGGUCAGUCGCAGUCCACAGUCGUUAUAAUCUUGGAAAGGCUAACCCCGCCGACUUAUCGCAUAUGUGCAUUACAUUAAGCUUAAUUAGUCUUUCAGAGAGUUGACUGGAGGAGAAAAUAUUAUUUAUACACAGGAACAACAAAAGAUCAAUAUUACCCAGACAUAUCCCCGAAUCAUAUUUAUUUCAUUGAUUUGAAUGGUUUUCGUUCACACAUUGCGUUCAAUGUAGUCUGGAGCUGUGGGAAAGCUCGGACUCUGAUUAAUGAAGCGUUGUAUUUGUGCAUAAAUUGCGGCACGUAUAAUAAAUUACGCCAAAUAAUAAAUUGUAAAUUAUGCAAAGCGAAA